CCCUUAGAUGUUCUGGGCCGCACGCGCGCUACACUGACGACUGCAACGAGCUUAUAACCUUGGCCGAAAGGUCUGGGUAAUCUCCAAAUUUCGUCGUGAUGGGGAUAGAUUAUUGCAAUUAUUAAUCUUCAACGAGGAAUGCCUAGUAAGCGCAAGUCAUCAGCUUGCGUUGAUUACGUCCCUGCCCUUUGUACACACCGCCCGUCGCUCCUACCGAUUGAAUGGUCCGGUGAAGCGUUCGGACCGUGGCCUUUGGACGGUUCGCCGUCUGUUGGCUGCGGGAAGUUCGUUAAACCUUAUCAUUUAGAGGAAGGAGAAGUCGUAACA
RNAcentral lists this ribosomal RNA (327 nucleotides) under uncultured eukaryote. Its description in RNAcentral is "partial 18S ribosomal RNA". It matches the Rfam family "Eukaryotic small subunit ribosomal RNA", at positions 1470 to 1796 of the family's 1831-position model. The record is from RNAcentral.